RNAcentral lists this ribosomal RNA (255 nucleotides) under Scopelarchus guentheri (staring pearleye). RNAcentral's name for it is "partial 16S ribosomal RNA". It matches the Rfam family "Bacterial large subunit ribosomal RNA", at positions 1941 to 2285 of the family's 2925-position model. Lineage: Eukaryota; Metazoa; Chordata; Actinopteri; Aulopiformes; Scopelarchidae. The record is from RNAcentral.
UUUGACCGUGCGAAGGUAGCGCAAUCACUUGUCCUUUAAAUGAGGACCUGUAUGAAAGGCAUGACGAGGGCUUAGCUGUCUCCCCUGUCUAGUCAAUGAAAUUGAUCUCCCCGUGCAGAAGCGGGGAUAGUACCAUAAGACGAGAAGACCCUAUGGAGCUUGAGACUAUCGAACGGCCCAUGUUAAACUUCCCAUUAUAAAUGGGCAGACCCAUAAUGAGUUGCUCCGUCCUUAUGUCUUUGGUUGGGGCGACCA